AGCGGCGGACGGGUGAGUAACGCGUGGGUAACCUGCCCUGUACACACGGAUAACAUACCGAAAGGUAUGCUAAUACGAGAUAAUAUACUUUUAUCGCAUGGUAGAAGUAUCAAAGCUUUUGCGGUACAGGAUGGACCCGCGUCUGAUUAGCUAGUUGGUAAGGUAACGGCUUACCAAGGCGACGAUCAGUAGCCGACCUGAGAGGGUGAUCGGCCACAUUGGAACUGAGACACGGUCCAAACUCCUACGGGAGGCAGCAGUGGGGAAUAUUGCACAAUGGGCGAAAGCCUGAUGCAGCAACGCCGCGUGAGCGAUGAAGGCCUUCGGGUCGUAAAGCUCUGUCCUCAAGGAAGAUAAUGACGGUACUUGAGGAGGAAGCCCCGGCUAACUACGUGCCAGCAGCCGCGGUAAUACGUAGGGGGCUAGCGUUAUCCGGAAUUACUGGGCGUAAAGGGUGCGUAGGUGGUUUCUUAAGUCAGAGGUGAAAGGCUACGGCUCAACCGUAGUAAGCCUUUGAAACUGGGAAACUUGAGUGCAGGAGAGGAGAGUGGAAUUCCUAGUGUAGCGGUGAAAUGCGUAGAUAUUAGGAGGAACACCAGUUGCGAAGGCGGCUCUCUGGACUGUAACUGACACUGAGGCACGAAAGCGUGGGGGAGCAAACAGGAUUAGAUACCCUGGUAGUCCACGCCGUAAACGAUGAGUACUAGCUGU
Molecule: ribosomal RNA, 711 nt
Filed under: uncultured bacterium
Lineage: Bacteria
Description: bacterial SSU rRNA
Rfam family: Bacterial small subunit ribosomal RNA
Source: RNAcentral